CACAGGUUUGGUCCCAGCCUUAUUAUUAAUUGCCAGUAGAUAUACACAUGCAAGUCUCCACCUUCCAGUGAGAAUGCCCUCUAGGCCCCCUUGGCCAAAAGGAGCAGGUAUCAAGCACGCGGUCCUCCCCUCCCCAGCUCACAACACCUUGCCAAGCCACACCCCCACGGGAAACAGCAGUGAUAAACAUUAAGCAAUAAACGAAAGUUUGACUAAGCCAUACUUACACACCCAGGGUUGGUAAAUUUCGUGCCAGCCACCGCGGUCAUACGAUUAACCCAAAUUAAUAAACAACGGCGUAAAGAGUGUUUUAGAAAUCAACCACAUACUAAAGUUAAGAAUUAACUAAGCCGUAAAAAGCCCUAGUUAAGACAAAAACUAUCAACGAAAGUGACUUUAAACCCCUGAAUACACGACAGUUAAGACCCAAACUGAGAUUAGACACCCCACUAUGCUUAACCAUAAACAAAAAUAAUUAGUAAACAAAAUUAUUCGCCAGAGUACUACAAGCAACAGCUCAAAACUCAAAGGACUUGGCGGUGCUUUAUACCCCUCUAGAGGAGCCUGUUCUAUAAUCGAUAAACCCCGAUAAACCUCACCACCCCUUGCUAAUUCAACCUAUAUACCGCCAUCCUCAGCAAACCCUGCUAAGGACUUAAAGUAAGCAAGAUACUUACACACUAAAACGUUAGGUCAAGGUGUAGUCUAUGGGACGGGAAGAAAUGGGCUACAUUUCCUACGCCCAUAGGACACAAACGCUAGCCCCAUGAAACACAAGGCAAAAGGCGGAUUUAGUAGUAAACCAAGAAUAGAGAGCCUGAUUGAAUUGGGCAAUGAAGCACGCACACACCGCCCGUCACCCUCCUCAAACAUACUACGUCACACAUAUACACAAUACCCUGAACCAACCAUAUUAGAGGAGACAAGUCGUAACAAGGUAAGCAUACUGGAAAGUGUGCUUG
This 962-nucleotide non-coding RNA is filed under the name Perodicticus potto edwarsi. Its description in RNAcentral is "12S ribosomal RNA". It matches the Rfam family "Bacterial small subunit ribosomal RNA". The record is from RNAcentral. Lineage: Eukaryota; Metazoa; Chordata; Mammalia; Primates; Lorisidae.